UUAACCUAAUCAGGUCAAAUCCAACUGAAUCCAAUUCAAUUGGACUUGAUCCAAAAAUAAUUACUCAAUCAAAUUGAGUUAAUUAGUGAUCAAAUCACUAAUUAAACUUCUCAUAAAUAUUGAGUCCAAAUCUGAUGGGCAAUCGGGCAUCAGAGUCCAUCGAUAUGAAACCCUGAUCAAAAAGUCCCAAGCCAGUGGGUCUCUUGACCCCGGUACCCAAAAUGUGUGCAACUCAUGAUUGGAAAAUCCUGAUUCUCGAUCACAAUGUUCUAGACACGUAGGACUCAAAGUUCACGAGCAUUAAGACUCUUCAUCAGCCAUCAGAUC
RNAcentral lists this long non-coding RNA (327 nucleotides) under Elaeis guineensis (African oil palm). Its description in RNAcentral is "long non-coding RNA (EGUI_LNC069423)". The record is from RNAcentral. Lineage: Eukaryota; Viridiplantae; Streptophyta; Magnoliopsida; Arecales; Arecaceae.